RNAcentral lists this ribosomal RNA (440 nucleotides) under Apanteles melpomene. RNAcentral's name for it is "partial 16S ribosomal RNA". The stretch from base 1 to 167 matches the Rfam family "Bacterial large subunit ribosomal RNA", at positions 1796 to 2022 of the family's 2925-position model. Lineage: Eukaryota; Metazoa; Arthropoda; Insecta; Hymenoptera; Braconidae. The record is from RNAcentral.
UCACCUGUUUUUCAAAAACAUGUCUUAAAGAUUUUAAUUUUAAGUCAAAUCUGCUCAAUGAAAUAUUUUAAAUAGCUGCAGUAUCUUUAACUGUACUAAGGUAGCAUAAUAAAUAGUUUUUUAAUUAAAAACUUGAAUGAAAGAUUUAAUGAAAUAUAAACUGUCUCAAAUUUAAUAAAUAAAAUUAUUAUUUAAAUUAAAAAAUUUAAAUAAUUUUUAAAGACGAAAAGACCCUAAAGAAUUUUUAUAAUUAAAUUUUAAAAAAUUAAAAUUUAAUUAAUUUAAUUGGGGAAAUUUUAAAAUUUAAUUAAUUUUUAAUUAAUCAAAACAAUUAUUUUUGAAUUUAAAAUCUUUUUUUAAAAAAAAAAAUUAAAUUACCUUAGGGAUAACAGCAUAAUUUUUUUUUAAAGUUCAUAUUUAUAAAAAAGCUUAUGACCUCG